Molecule: long non-coding RNA, 4012 nt
Filed under: Theobroma cacao (cacao)
Lineage: Eukaryota; Viridiplantae; Streptophyta; Magnoliopsida; Malvales; Malvaceae
Description: long non-coding RNA (TCAC_LNC002837)
Source: RNAcentral
UCCAUUAUUUUACAGGUUUUGUUUUAGUAAAAUAAUAACUGACCUCGAAGGCAAGGCCAGUCUAAGCCAAACAGAACCCUACAGCCUCACAAAAAGAAAAUAGAAAAAUUUUAAAUAAUUUACAGAGGAUUCACCCAUCCGUGCAGUAGAUUAAAAAGGAUCAAACAACACAAAAACAAAAAAACAAAACAAAGCGAAAGUAGAGAGAAAACAAAGAAGGAAGGUGACCACUAUAUCUACUUCAGGUUCUUACCAGAACCAAAGACAGCCAUCCCCAAGAGUCCUCACACGCAAAAACCCACAUGCUUUUAGACAAAGACAAAUAACCAAAGUACAAAUCUUUUCAAUCUUGAAACUCAGAGAGAAAAAAGAAACCAUACAUACAAAAUCUUCGUGUAGAUAGAGCCUCUACAAAAAAGGCAGAAAUCUUGCAAUCUUCAAAGAGAAACAAAAGAGGGGUGUUCUUUUUUUUUUGGGGGUUUGGAAAAUGAAGUUAUCGGCAAAACCCAUAUCGAGUCCGGGUCGGGCUGAGAAGUAUCCGCCACCAUUGAUGCGGUUUUUGAGAAGCAAUGUUGGGAGCAGAAGCAGGGGAAGGUCACGUUCAAGCCCAAUGUUUGUUAGAAAAAAGAACACUGCCAUUGAAACCCAAGAGCCCACUUCGCCUAAAGUCACUUGCAUGGGUCAGGUUCGUGUCAAACGCUCCAAACAAGCUGGUACAAAACCCGGUCGACACGGAGCCCCGACUCGUCGCCGCAGCCGCUGUAAUUGGAUCAGAAAUGCUCUGUUUUGCCGUCAUUUCGCUGGGAAAGUCAAGGCCAAGCCCUCUUGUAGACCCACUUGGAAGAAAUGGGGGGCGUUUUUCCAAAUGGGGUCUUGUAGAAAACCCAAAACUAGAGAAGAUUCAUCGAAAUUUGGGAACAAAAUUGAAGAUUUUGUGGAAGGAAAUGAAGAAGAAGAAGAAGAAAGUGAAAAAAAUGAAAAGGAAGCUAAGAUUUUUGUAUCUUCUUCCUCUUCAUCACCACCCAAAAAUGCUUUGAUUUUAACACGUUGUCGAUCUGCUCCAUACAGAUCUUCUUCUUUAGCUUGUAGGUUUUGGGAGUCGCCUUUAGCUAACCAGGAGACAAACGAAGAAGAAACAGAGGAAACAGAAGAAGAAAAAAGAGAAAACAGAGGAUUUCAAAAAGAAGAAGCAGAGGUUCCCACAUCCGAGAAAGUGUCCAUUUACAGAAAUUCGGAUCACGGGUCCCAAAUGGAUUCGGAAAAACUAGAGAAGUCGGGUUUUUGCAAGGAAUUUGAAGAGGGCAAAACAGAAAAACCUGAAAACAAUGAAGAGUUGAAAACAGAGCAGUUUGGGAAUGUACGGCCUUUAAUCCUCACGAGAUGUAAAUCCGAACCGGCUAGAACAGCUGAAAGACUCGAUCCAGAGAUGAGUUUCUGGAAGAAGAGAAGGUUGGGUUUCACGUGAUUCAUUUAAUUUUCUUCUUCUUUUAAUUAAUUUAUGAAUAUUAUUGGUUAUGUUAGGAAGAAGCACUACUUUUUUCUUUCUUACUUAAAUGACUUUGUUGUAUUCAACAUCUAGGGCCGUUAGAGAGAAUCUCUAUGGCUCUUCGGCAACAUUAAAAAAACAAAAAAAAGAAGGGCUUAGUUAAUAGUACACUGGAAAUUGAAAACAAUGAUAAAAUUUAUUUGUGUUAAUUUUUUUCCUGAAACUUCCUCAUGGGCUGCUGUCUUUAGUGGUGUUGGCAAAUCUUUCUUUUUUCUCUUUGUUUUGAUAGGCAGAAGUGUUCUCUGCUUCUGGUUCCAGCCAGGGCUUUUCUGGGGGGUUUUAUGGUAGUUUGAUUAGUUUUAUGCAUCUUUGGAUACUCUGACCAGCUUUUAUAUUUUGGUAGAAUAGCUUAUGCAGUAUUCUGGCCCCGCAGUUUCAUUAUUUUAUGUAAUUCUUUAUGACUUUUUCAGCAACAGGAAGAAAGUUUCAAUUGAAUGUCUCCAUCCCUUGUCAAUUUUUAGUUAAGGAUUUUUUAUAUUAUGGCUCUGUUAAGAUCUGUUACUUGAUUGGAAAGCUUAGUCAAGAGGAUUAUUGAUCAAUGUUUUUUUGUGAGAAAGCUACAUGGGCAAUUGGCAAGUUGUUUGCCGUACUAAUUGAAGCAAAAUGGGUUCAUUCAUUCGUUUCACAUUUGGAUAAGAAACUUGGGGAUGGAAAAUUUUCUAAUUCUGCAAAAGAAUAAUUGGAAAAACUGUUUGGUUGUAUCCAAAGUGGAAAAGAUUGGUUAUGAUGGCACUGAAUCCUGAUUUGAGACCAAGGUUUGGACAUAUGUAUCACACACAACAAACUGUCUAAACAAAAAGAUAAAGAAAAAAUGGAGAGGGAAAGCCUGGAUCCCUCCCUCCUUUGCCAUUUAUUCCAGUUUGUCACAUCUCAGGCUUUUAAGGGCUUCAGAUGGAGCUAGGGAAGGCUUCAGUUAAAGUUUAGGCUGUCAUUUGUUGAGUUUUCAGCUCAGGUUUAUAGCUACGAAGUAUAGUAAAUUAGUAAUAAAACUUCAUCAGUACAAGGCAAAGCCCCGGACCUUUACGAACGUCUCUUCAGAUACUGCCAUGGAUGGAAGAAAAAAUCCAAGACAUUGAUCUACGUGAACCAUGAUUAUUUACUUCUAAAUAGUGAUUAGUGAUAGAAUAUACCCGAAAUUUGGUAUGAAACCUAACAAAAUCUUCAUCGUCCCUUAGUUUGUGCCUACCAUGAUUGUAUAUACCAACUUCAAGCCAAAUGUCAGGCUAUCAGGGAAAAUUAUUGCCCCAAAUUCCUGACUCAAGGCCAGGUUUUGAACACCCUCACAUGCAGAGUUGAGAAUCAAGUUAUGAUCCAACGUUGCAGUAUCCUGCCCUAAGAUUUUGUUUGGUACCUAAGGUCAACCACUACAUUGCAAAAGAUCAAACUGGAGUCAGUCCAGCAGUUGUUUUCCUGUUUAUGUAGAGCAAAAAUCUUAUGUUUGGAUACAGUUUUUCUGCUCAAAUGAAUCCCAAAAAGCAUGCUUAAGGUCAACCACUAGAUUGAAAAAGAGCUGUGUAUAGCAGAACAGUAUGGCUUUGGUUUGGAUACAUAUUUCAUGCUCAAAUAAACGCCAAAAAGCAUUGGGGAAAGCAACAGUAUCCACUGCCGUUGGUUCACAGAAAGAAAGCUUUUUCUAGUUUGCAGCUAAAGUACAAGGUUAUGAUACAGAGAUCAAAGCAAAGCCCAAAAAGAUGAGUGUUACAAAUCAAUCAAUUCAAUGGACUGCCAUGGCUAUAAUAACUUUCUUUUUGUCCAAGAUGCAAUGAUCCUUUAUACCAAUAUGAUAAUAAGUUUGUAAGAAGACAUACAAGGUCAGAUGUAGAUUUGCCAAGGCAGGUUGAGAUGAAGGGUUCAAGUUGCCGUCCUGCUGUCUCAAAGGACUGGGGUUGGGAUCCAACAACUUUAAAGCGUGCAGGUAAGGGCAUCUUAGUAUCAUGCAUUUGCCUUGGAAAUCAUACCCACUCCUAUCCAGAGAUGGCAUAGCUGUUUGACGAUGGAGCCAACCAGAUUACACCAGACACUCGUUCAAGGAAAUCAUAUAGGCAUGUAAUCUUGAAGAGACAACAAACAGGGACCACUGACAAGCAUCCACUCGUUUCCCUUUGAACUGCCAAUUCGAAAUCUAAAAUUAUCUCAAACUCUCAACCAGCUUUUCACAAUGUGUUGAAACUAAUAGCAUAUUCCACUAUUCAAUAAACCUACUAAAUUAAGAGAGAUUGCAUACAUAUAUUCUAAACAAAUUACUGAUUAUUUUUUAUGCAUUAUAAUUUUAUUUUACUUGAAGAGUAUGGGAGUUUAAAGCACUUGGUUUUUGGUGCUUGUUUUGUUGACUAAGAGCAUGUAGGGAUCAUGCUUCAUCUCCUCCUUAUCCUUGCCUGAUUGUCAGCUUCCCUUCAAGUAAAUGCCAUUUGUGCUUGCAAUGUUAAUUAUUUUUAUAUAUAAAAAAAACAGUCUGUACAAUUAUAA